Molecule: non-coding RNA, 1091 nt
Organism: Paramuricea clavata
Lineage: Eukaryota; Metazoa; Cnidaria; Anthozoa; Malacalcyonacea; Plexauridae
Source: the annotation of a GenBank genome assembly
ACUUUAUAUAAUGUACAGCAGUAACACAUAGCAACAUGUUGAAAAUUUCAACAUGUUACUACAUGUUACUGCUGUUUUUUUAUAUAAAGUACAUGCUUCCAUUUUUAUAGGAAACAGCAGUAACAUGUAGUAACUUGUUGAAAUUAUGUAGUAAAAUAUAAUAAAUUGAUUGGAACAUGUGCAGCAGCAUGUACAGUAACACGUGAUACCAUACGAAGAAUUUAUUUAAAGAAUUAUAUGGUAAAAAUGUAGUACACUUAUAGUAACAUGAACAGUAACAUGUAGUAACAUGCAGUAACUUGUCCUAUAUGUAAUAUAUAGAGGUUAGUGAAAUAGUCACUGCAAUCUGUUAGGUCUAUUACCUCCAACAUUUCGGUUGACGGAAAAAAAAUUGAAUCCCCCUCAUAAAAUAUACGACAAUGCGUUAGUUAUUAACUUUUAAUUAUUAACUUUCAAAUAUUAUAUACAUCAGUCAUUACGCAGAAUUACGUUUUGUAAAUACAGGCUAAUUGUAUGGAGCAGUGGAUCAUUUAUUAAAUCUUUCGUUAAAACCUUGGGUGUAUGCUUGAAAGAGUCUUUAUUACCUAACGAGCUAUUAUAUUAUUUGAAGAGAUUUCCCGUUGAAGUAAAAGCAGACUGUGUAUGAUGUAAGUUUCUUGAUUAUCUCUCUGUAAUACCAUGAACUCUUAUCAAGUAAACCAUAAAUAUUCAAUAUAACAUGUAGAAUCUGCCAUGCUUUAGAGCUUCAAUGAGGAUUUAUACACCGCGUCUCUAAGUAUCCCCCCGUAAUUUUUGUCUUUAAAUUUAGACUGUAGUUUGACUUGAGAUAAUGGCAAUAACAAGAAAGUCAGAUAUCUUAGUGAGUAUUUAAUAAAAUUCAAUGAAACUCGGUACACUUAGUGGGUGCACUCAUAUGAAUAUUUUUGGCAGGUCAUGUGGUUGUCAUGGCAACACACUAGUCCCCAGUCUCUUCUCUUCUUUUUCACAAAUUUCCUCAUGUACAGUAGACGUCUUGCAGAUGAUGUUUGCAUGUUAUAACAGUUUAAACUGAUCACAAUACCUAAACGUACAGUAUUAUAGUAAAAGGCGAC